UACGUAGGGUGCGAGCGUUGUCCGGAAUCAUUGGGCGUAAAGGGCGCGUAGGUGGUCUGCUAAGCGUGCGGUGAAAGCUCGGGGCUCAACCCCGAGUCGGCCGUGCGAACUGGUGGGCUUGAGCACUGUAGAGGCAGGCGGAAUUCCGGGUGUAGCGGUGGAAUGCGUAGAGAUCCGGAAGAACACCGGUGGCGAAGGCGGCCUGCUGGGCAGUAGCUGACACUGAGGCGCGACAGCGUGGGGAGCAAACAGG
RNAcentral lists this ribosomal RNA (253 nucleotides) under uncultured bacterium. RNAcentral describes it as "partial 16S ribosomal RNA". It matches the Rfam family "Bacterial small subunit ribosomal RNA", at positions 524 to 776 of the family's 1533-position model. The record is from RNAcentral.